RNAcentral lists this transfer RNA (71 nucleotides) under Stegodyphus mimosarum. It matches the Rfam family "tRNA". From Rfam's summary of the family: Transfer RNA (tRNA) molecules are approximately 80 nucleotides in length. The record is from Rfam by way of RNAcentral. Lineage: Eukaryota; Metazoa; Arthropoda; Arachnida; Araneae; Eresidae.
GUUUUCGUGGUGUAACGGUAGCACACUCGGUGUGUAUUCGAGAGGUUCAGGUUCGAAUCCCGGCGAGAGCA